Molecule: unclassified non-coding RNA, 364 nt
Filed under: uncultured bacterium
Lineage: Bacteria
Description: contains 16S-23S intergenic spacer region
Source: RNAcentral
UCCCGAUUGGCUCGGGCAGUCUCGUGUGAAAAAUACAACACACGACAAGGGUUGCGCUCGUUGCGGGACUUAACCCAACAUCUCACGACACGAGCUGACGACGGCCAUGCAACACCUGUCACCGCGCUCCCGAAGGCACUCUCCGAUCUCUCGGAGAUUCGCGGGAUGUCAAGGGUCGGUAAGGUUCUUCGCGUAUCAUCGAAUUAAACCACAUGCUCCACCGCUUGUGCGGGUCCCCGUCAAUUCCUUUGAGUUUUAGCCUUGCGGCCGUACUCCCCAGGCGGGAUGCUUAACGCGUUAGCUUCGCAACACAGAGGGUCGAUACUCCAUACUACUAGCAUCCAUCGUUUACGGCGUGGACUAC